AAGCUCUGGGAGGUGAGACGGCCCAUUCAAGGUUAUCAGCUAGCGAGCGGAAGUGCUGAGACACGCAUCCACGCAGCCCGAUCCCGGGCCUUCCACCCUACCACACAGCUGAACAUGCUGUGCAUUGUUAUCGUGAUUUUUAAAAAGCCUUACCAGCUGGGAAAAUGAUUUCUUUUAGGCACAGGCCCUAUCUGCUUCGUGUCUGGGGACACUUCAUGAGGUGGGGACACCCUAGGAAAGCCUCUGGUCCUCUGCUGGUCCCUCCGGUCCUGGGUCUGGAGUUUCCCUGAGAGAGGAUGAGAGAAGACGAGGAGGCCGUCACAGCCGACACCGUGGGGAGGAGGCGUGUAGAUCCUAGAACUGAACUAGUUGAGCAACUCAUCUCUGACCUGCUCUGCUGGCCUGGAGAAAUGAAUACACUGAGGCCUCUCCCCUGCCCCUUCACGACUUACCCGAGGCUUCCAUCUGUUCAGUCUUGAGUGAGUUACUGAGCACUGACUAUGUACAAGGGUCAGAAGAAGAUUUCCGACCGUGAAGGAGAUGGACCAAGACCAGCUCAGACCCCUCUCUCUCAUCUCGCUGCCCCGGCAGAGGCACUUGGCCUGACCAGAACGGCCCCACCCGAGCACUUCAGGCUUAGAGUCAGAGGGCAGCACGAUCAGGAGCACACGUCGCCUCCGCCAUUAGAUUAUGUUUCCAAGGUUAGGAACUAGUCUGGUCUGCCGCUGUGUCUCCUGCAGAAUCUUGCCCCAGUGCGCUCCGUAAUUAUUUACUGGACUGAAUUCUGAAUGUUAUUCUCAGUGAAAACAAUCCCGUAUCUGCAAACAUACAUGGAGCGCUAUGCUGUAGGGGAUUUAAGAAAAAACAUGGACCUACUCCUGGCUCAAAAGGGGCUGAGAAAACAGAGGGAUUGCCAAGCCCUCCUGUCUCCCCGCUGUCUACUCUCCCUCGAAGAUGCGAGGGAGGCAGGAAUUCUACAUUACUUCAGCCCAACU
This 995-nucleotide long non-coding RNA is filed under the name Equus asinus (donkey). RNAcentral describes it as "lncRNA (ENSEASG00005037147.1, ENSEASG00020034199.1)". The record is from RNAcentral. Lineage: Eukaryota; Metazoa; Chordata; Mammalia; Perissodactyla; Equidae.